RNAcentral lists this long non-coding RNA (1812 nucleotides) under Homo sapiens (human). Its description in RNAcentral is "long intergenic non-protein coding RNA 534". Lineage: Eukaryota; Metazoa; Chordata; Mammalia; Primates; Hominidae. The record is from RNAcentral.
GUCUUUUCUGGCAGAUUACUUCUGUGAGCAACUGGGUCUCUCAGUUCUUUGGGAGCACCCUGGGAAACAGUGUGGCUAUGACUUGGAGCUGCUCACCAGUUCCAGUCAUUCUGUGGUUGAGAGCUGCUCCCUAUGGAUGUUAAUUCUUCUCUAUUUUAGAUUUUCCACAGGUGUGGGCCCCAUUAGCUCUGGCCACCUGAGAAAGCCCUCAGGCAAAGAGUCGCAGGUGAAAGCCAGCAGUUAGAGGUUCACAGAAAUGAGUGCAGAAGCAUCUUCAGUUGGAGAGCCAUUGCCUCUUGCUGUGAAAUAUUUGGGAAUCUUCAGAAACCAUGAAGAAUAACCUGCUAAAGGCCACCAAGUUCUAUUGAACAUCAUGAAUCCUAUGCUCAAGUGAGAUCAGCUCAAGUGAGACCAGAUAUCUGAAGACCUUUUCAUUUUCGCCACCCUCAAAUGAAGGCAUGCAAGCUUAUGUUGACACAUCGUUCUAGGAAGAAAACAGAACAUUUCUGCUCAUCAGUGUUUUGCAGUAGGAGAUAAAAACUAUCAUGUGGAAGAUGCCCUCCCUGUGCCAAGAGAAAAGAAACAUUCUUCCAUGAAGACUCAUAGCCGAGAUAAUUCCGUAUAAACAGACCUUGUUAAAAGAAUUAUCUCCCUUUGGCCUCCCCACAAAAUUUAGAUACUUUUCCACAAUUGCCUCUUUACAAAAUCAUGUAAGCCUUGCUUUUUUUUUUAUCUUCAUUUUCUCAUGAGGGCUCCUGUGUCAUGUAAAAUAUGUUAAAUUUAUACGCUUUUCUCUUGUUAAUUUAUCUUACGUCAAUUUAAUUCUCAAGCCCAGCAGAGACCCUAGAAGGGCAGAGGUAAAUUUUUGCCUGCACUACACUAUUGAUCCCAAAACACACACACAGAGAGAGAGAGAGAGAAAGAGAGAGAGAGAAACUCUCUUCCUAUUCUGUGCCAGUGAAAUUCUGCCAUCAGCAAAUAUAUCUUUUCUGACUUUGAAAAUACUGAUGACAGUGGAGAUUAAAAUCCUACCAAGGCUGCUGCAGAAUCAAUGACACAUGAGGUGGCCAGGCAUGGUGGCUCACGACUGUAAUCCCAGCACUUUGGGAGGCCAAGGUGGGUGGAUCCCCUGAAGCCAAGAGUUCAAGACCAGCCAGGCUAACAUGGUGAAACUCCAUCUCUACUAAAAAUACAAAAAAUUAGCCGGGUGUGGUGGCACAUGCCUGUAAUCCCAGCUACUCAGGAGGCAGAGAGAGGAGAAUUGCCUGAGCCCAGAAGGUGGAGGUUGCAGUGAGCCGAGAUCAUGCCACUGCACUCCAGCCUGGGUAACAGAGUGAGACUCCGUCUCAAAAAAAAAAACAAAAAACAAAAAACAAAAAAAAAACACAUGAAGCUUUACCAGAAGAUUUCAGUAUGUCCUCCAGUGCGUAAUUCAUUUGUUCAACAAUUUUUACUGGGCAGGCAUUCUAAUAGAUGUUGAGGAUAUCACAAUAAAUAAGGCAAACAAAAUCUCUACCCUAUGGUAGAGAUUUUGAAAUAUCAAAUUAUUAAGUUUUAGGAAAAUUCAAUGACAAAAAGAAAGUCUUAUAAUAUUACCAUGUCCAGAUAAUGUAAGUAUUUACACAUUACUAUUUCAAUUUCAUUCAAUUUUUUUCUAAACUUUUAUUUUUUCAAACAUGUAAUCAUAAUAUAUUAGUGCUAAGUAUUAAAACAAUUUCUUAAUUCCCAUGUAAAUUUAAGGGUAUUUAAGCUUUUUUUUUUUUUUUUUUGAGACGGAGUUACACUCUUGUUGCUCAGGCUGGAGCUCAAUGG